ACGCUGGCGGCGCGUCUUAAACAUGCAAGUCGAACGAUCUGUAGCAAUACAGGGAGUGGCGGACGGGUGAGGAACACGUAGGAAUCUACCUUGAAGAGCGGGACUAACUUUGGGAAACCGGGGCUAAUACCGCAUAGUACAGAGAUGUUAAAGGGCUAGCAAUAGUCGCUUCGAGAUGAGCCUGCGGUCUAUCAGCUUGUUGGUGAGGUAAUGGCUCACCAAGGCUACGACGGAUAGCCGGUCUGAGAGGAUGAUCGGCCACACUGGCACUGAGACACGGGCCAGACUCCUACGGGAGGCAGCAGUUAAGAAUCUUGCGCAAUGGGGGAAACCCUGACGCAGCGACGCCGCGUGAAGGAUGAAGGCUUUCGGGUUGUAAACUUCGGUAGACUGGGAAGAAGAAAUACGUUCGUUGAGGGCGUAUAGUGACGGUACCAGUCUGAAGCCCCGGCUAAUUACGUG
This 462-nucleotide ribosomal RNA is filed under the name uncultured bacterium. Its description in RNAcentral is "bacterial SSU rRNA". It matches the Rfam family "Bacterial small subunit ribosomal RNA", at positions 33 to 507 of the family's 1533-position model. The record is from RNAcentral.